GCAAACUUGGUCAUUUAGAGGAAGUAAAAGUCGUAACAAGGUCUCCGUAGGUGAACCUGCGGAGGGAUCAUUACUGAGCGCCGCCCCCGGGCGGAUCUCCCACCCACUGUGAUCACUACCCCGUUGCCUCGGCGGGCGCCAGCGCCCGCCAGAGGGCCCCAGACCCUGAAUGUCGGUGUCGUCCGAGUGCAGUUUACAGCGAUUAAAACUUUCAACAACGGAUCUCUUGGUUCUGGCAUCGAUGAAGAACGCAGC
RNAcentral lists this unclassified non-coding RNA (255 nucleotides) under uncultured fungus. RNAcentral describes it as "partial contains small subunit ribosomal RNA, internal transcribed spacer 1, and 5.8S ribosomal RNA". The stretch from base 1 to 73 matches the Rfam family "Eukaryotic small subunit ribosomal RNA", at positions 1759 to 1831 of the family's 1831-position model. The record is from RNAcentral. Lineage: Eukaryota; Fungi.